CCUGGAAAUCAUUUGUGCCCUCUGCCUGCUGGGCACAGAGUUCGCCGCACAUGCUGGAUCUAGGUCCAGGUCUGCACCCAGCCUGAGUGACCGAUGGUGGCCAGGGGCGAGAGGUAUUCUCCAGGAAUCAGGAACAGACUAAAUGGAAACUCAGCGGUACCCAGCAACCCAUGAUGGCGAGCUUGGCACUCCCCACGACUCCAAACAGUGUGCCCCAGAUGAUUCAAUGUUUCUUGCAGGGGUCUCUGCUGUGAUAUUCCGGAAGCUGCAGCACCACUGCAGCAGGGAAGGCCAGGACCUAAGAGGGUGCAGCUGCGGAGGAUAUGCCCCCAUGGGAGCCCAAAACCCAUCUGAGAAUUUCAGAGAUGCAGAUGAAAACAAGUGGGCUGAGCCAAGGGGCUGAGGCCCUGCAGCUGCAAGCCGCAACUCGCUUACCUGGUGUGCAGCCACGAAGCCACAAGCCACACCACCCGCUUCUCUAAUUGGUGUCAUUCGAAAUUCGAAUCCUUACAGGAUAAAAUACAAAUAAGUGUGGGCAAUUGUUUCUUUUCUGGUUUCCUUCUAUUCAGCUUGAAUCUGUUUCUAAGUCUUCCAGAAGGUCUGUUUCUACACACCUCUUCUUUCUCCUCCUAUAUAGGCUGGCCCUCCAGGCCGAGGGCAUUAGCAGAGUUAACUGAGCACGGUGCUGGGCACUUUAUGCCAUCAUCUCACUUAACUUUACAAGCACCCUAUGAUGACUCUCAUCAUGGCCAUUUUAUAAAUGGGAGAGCAGGGAGGUUAGGCAGCUUCCCCCAGGUCCGCAAAUACCCGCGGCUUCCAGUCUGUAACUCUAACGGAG
Molecule: long non-coding RNA, 838 nt
Filed under: Callithrix jacchus (white-tufted-ear marmoset)
Lineage: Eukaryota; Metazoa; Chordata; Mammalia; Primates; Cebidae
Description: lncRNA (ENSCJAG00000052016.2)
Source: RNAcentral